GAAGAUAUCCUCCGGGAAGGCGCGGCGCAGAUGCGAAGGUCCACCCUCUCUCGUGGCCUCCGACAUGGUCGCCGGCCGGAAGCUGGUGAGUCCUGGUGGUCGAUCGAUCCGUUGCCGAGCCCGAGCAGAAAGGGCAAUGCGAUAGGGAAGUGGUGGGGCUGACUCGACUUGGUUGUGAUGUGAGGCGCUGCCGGCGGGGGUAUU
RNAcentral lists this long non-coding RNA (204 nucleotides) under Hordeum vulgare. RNAcentral's name for it is "long non-coding RNA (HVUL_LNC008026)". The record is from RNAcentral. Lineage: Eukaryota; Viridiplantae; Streptophyta; Magnoliopsida; Poales; Poaceae.